UUUACAAAGAACAAGAAUGGAUCAUAGUAAGCUUCGCGCUGGAGUUUUUCACUUUCGACGUGUCUUGCAUUACGGGCUAAGUGAUUAACUCUAAAUCCUCCCAGUUUUUGGUCUUUAAAGAUUAAAUAUACAAGAAAACAAAACAUUAUUCUUUAUCUAAAUUGGACGCAUAAAGUUGAUGUGUCCUCUAAUUUUCUCUUUUCCCUAAUCAACCAACCACGUGCCCUUCUCUAUCACAUGAAUGUAUUUUAUAAGCACACAUAUUUAAAGUUUGACGUGUAUAUCAUCACUUUAUACACGUCUAAAUAUCUCUAUAAAUCUAUCAUAUAUCAAAAAAAAAAAUAUAUAAUAUAUCUACUCCUGAUUGGAUAAAAGUACGUUAUACAUAAUUAUUUUUUGCUAAGUGCUGUAUAAUAUAUAUUUGCUAAUUACUUUUAAAUUCAAAUUUCGCCAGAUAAUUUCCAAAAACGUAUUCCUCUUGUAGUCUUGUGUUAAUGAAAAUGUUUUUUUUUUGAACCUAUGUUAAUGAAAAUGUUGCUUUGAAUCAAAUAUCAUAUGCGCAUCAAUAACUAAUUAAAUAUAUACGCUUUGUAUUUGGUAUGCACAAGCGGAUGUUUUAGAUCAAUAUUAAUGAAUUGAUUUAAAAAUAAGUAAAUUAUUUUCCGCGGUAAUCACAAUAGUCUCACGUACAUACCCAUGUCAUCGGCCCUCUUGGUUUAACAAAUCACUAGAUCAUGAUCCACGCAGGUUUUAUUUUUGUUUUUAUACAUUUCGAGUUUGUCCAAUUCCUUUUUUUUCUUUAAAGAACAAUAUUUAAAUUGUGUUUUAUACUAGUAGUUUUUCAUCGGUGUAUUAAAGAUAUAACCGUGCAGUGAAAACACUAACAUAAUAUUAAGUAAUACGAUUUGGAUCGAAAUAACUGUGUAUUAUAAAUGUUCUGUGAAACACUAACCUAAUAGUAACCAAUACAAUUUGGAUUAACAUAUCAGUAUAUUAUAAACAUAGACAUAAGGUGAAAAUACUAAUCUAAUAUUAACAAAAAAGAAGAAGACUAACGUCCCUGAAGUCUUCAUUAUAAUUCUAAUAAAAUAAUUGUAAUAAUAAAAUAAAUAAGCAAACAAAAGUGUAUAUUUUCUUUAAAAAAUUAAUAGAUUAACCCCAUUCGGAUAUAUAAAUGUUUAAAUUGAUAGAUAUAACAAUUUUUUUUGGUCAAGUAAUUUAAAUAAAAAUGUAAUAAUAGAAAAAAAAUUAUGGUUUUAAUUUUUUUAUUAAUAGAAUAGUAUUUUCAAUGUGUAUGCAAGAAUUCCAAUAAAUAAAGAAAAAAUUAAGUGCAAUCAUAAAAUUGUUUUUGUUUUAUAUUUAAAUUGCAAUCUAACUAUUAUGAUCCAUAAAACAAAAUUUUAUUAUAAAUGCACAAGUCCAUAUCAAAACAAUAAGCCCAUAAGUAACAACAGUUGUCCAGGAAAAGAAAGAAUAAAAACGGUUAUCCUUUAUUUUCCUUUUUCUUCCUUUAUUUUCUUUUACAGACAUAAACGUGUCUUUUUUUUUGUACAAGUGUUUGUUCCUCUUCGAAAUCAUCAAUUCAAGUUUAAAGAGUAUCCGUAACCCGAUCAAAAUUUUGGAAGUCAGAGAACCCCAAAAUUUCUUUCUUCAUUCUCAUAAAACAGAGCAAAUGCAUCAACAUAUAUACUCAUAAAAGAUUUAUUGAUUCCUAUAUAAGAUCGGCUAUCAAUAUCCUCGAUUGAGAAAUUCACGGGUUCUUGCAUUCUCUAUAAGUUUUCUUUGUCUGUGUCUUUCUCUGAUCUGUUCGUCUUCCUCGAUAUCCAUAAUCAUCAAAGUAUCCUAAUAAAACGGGAGAAGCAUAAACGGGAGAAGCAUCAUGUAGAUACACAGAAGCAAUUCAGGAAUUUUCCAUGGCCACAAUGUCUUGCAUCAAAAUAUAAAGUAAGUUGUCUGGCAAAUUUAUAUUACUUUUAGAAGGUUUAAGUGGAACUGUAAAUGGUAGAUAGGUUUUUCCCUGGAGAAUGUUUGAUGUGAUGUAAUGUAUGUACUGUUUUAAAUGAAAAUUAUCAAGCAAAUAAUGAAUUAUUAUGAUAUGUAUUUAGAAAUGUAUGUCAACAUUGCGUGAAACACAAAUAGAUAGUUGUAGAAAACCAAAACUAACGAAAAAAACAAAAUUCUGGAUAGUAGCAAUUCUCACGCUUCCACAGCUCUCACUCUUCCACAUUUCUCACGGUUCCAAACCAUAAACUCACGGUGCAUUCCUGGAUAUACUCUUCAUCAUCAUCUAGCAACCCACGCGCAAAACAUGCCUCUUUAUAGCUAGGAUAUAGAACACUGUUAAAUGUUUUCAUGUCUUCAUAACUGGUAGGGCCUCUAACAACGUUCAGCAACACUCGCAGAUAAUAAGAAUUCUCUGGAUUCCGUGGAGCAUAAUUUAUUCUGCCUAUGCUGAAUCCCUUUUUUCGCCUACUGAACUUCUUCUUCGUUUUAUCAUAAGUAUAUAAGUUCGGAAUUUGAGCAUAAGUAAGAGUUCUUGCAAAUUCAUCAACUUUACACAAAUCAAACCAUGCCAAAAACAUGGUAUGUGUGAUAAGCUUACGAUUGACGACUUCUUGAAUCUUAUCUUUGCCUUUGAAAAAAACAGUCUGUUUUCCACGAAGAUGGAAUUGAAGCUUCUCAACUGAUGUAGAUCAAUAAUGUAUUGGGAAUGCAAAAGUGUGCCAUGAAGCUUCACAAGAAGAAACAUAUCUACAAAAAACACAAAUGAUUAUCAUGUUAUAGGAUAUGGCAUAAUGCUUUAAAAUCGAGCUUAAAUUAACAUUUAUGAAUUCAGAUACCUGCAAUCAAAAGAAUCUUGGAAUUCAUUUUUUUUCUUCUCAACGUUUGCUUCUCCAUCACUGCCACCAUUAGAUUCACCACAACCUGAUGGUUCCACAACGACAGUGACACGAUCACUACCCUUGUUGAUGUACUUAAAUAAGUACUUGAUAGAACCUGUUUGGUUGCACCACUCCACAUUAAUAUGAGCUUUGUAUAGAAGAGAGAGUUUCUUAUUGUAUGGGAUCACAAAUCUGUUAUCACAUUUCACGCCAUUCUUCAUCACAAAAUUAUCAGAGUGCUCUUGCCUUCUAUAAACAGGGAAACCUUCUUUAGUUACCGUAGUCUUCUCAGCAUAGGAUUUCGGAUACAACUUAGAACAUUUUUCAUUCUCCAUACAAGGUGCAUUCCUAUUAGCGUGACCACACGGUCCAUGAAUCAUCAUAUCUUUGAUAACACCAUACAGCUCUGGUUCAGUGUCCUUAUUAGGAAUUUUCUCCCUUAUAAUCUUGUCAAUAUCAUCAGUGGUGGGAAACUUGCAUGUAGGAUGCAUGAAGAGGAGAAUAUGAGCAUGUGGCAGUCCCGUUUUUGGAACUCAAUUGUGUACAUAGCUGAAACAUUAUAAACAGUUCAAAACACUUAAAUAAUCAAAUAAUUGUUAGUGCAUAAAUCAAUUUUAAUUAAUAAAGAGUGUAAAAUUAUAACUUACACGCAACCGUCUUUCCUAGCAGAUUUUUCUUAGUUAAAGCAUCCAUCAAAGAGUCAAGUUUGAUCUUAAACAUCCUAGAAAUUAUUUCUGGUCUGUCCUCUGAUGUUAACUUGCGCUCAUUUAGAUAUCUUGUGAUCUCUGGCCAUUUAGGAUUGCACGUGAAUGUAAUGAAGAGAUCUGGAAAACCAAAAUGCUUGCAUAUGGCCACUGCAUCCAAGUAGUUAUUCUUCAUAUACCUAGGACCUCCUGUAAACGUAGCUGGUAUCACAUAAAAAGAGUUAUAAAAACAAACUAUAAACAAUAUGUACAUUUUCAUCAGCAAAGAUGAACUCUAAUGUGUCGCCUGCAAAAGGUGUGGUUUGUUUUCAAGAAUGAAGCACUUUAACUCGAAUUUGCCAAUUGUGUCUGACAGGUUUCACACCAUCGAUUAGAACUAAAGUGCUUGGUUUAGACAUUUUGUUUUUUGGGAGCUUUUUGUGUAUGUCGAAUGAUGAAUACGAAGAGAAGUAUUUAUGGAGACAUUUUAGUGGGAGGUAAUGAAUAUUCCCUAACCUAUCAAGUUAGGUAUAAUAAAUACAAAAUCUCUAGAUUUUAUUGAAACCGAGAUUUUAGGUAUAGUAGAAUAAACUUGGAGAAGGGGGUUUUCCAUAUUAAUGAUUUUCAAAUCUGGCAAAUCGAUUUUAACAGAGAAUUUUAAAACUCCAUAUUUGAUUGUAUCCGAGAUUUUAGGCAUAUAAUACACAACUUGGGGAAGGGGUUUUGUUAUAAACGUUUUUUGGUAAGUAUAAACUGAUGUUUUUGUUAUUGAAAUAAGAAUAUACGGUUAAAAUCAAAUCCGGAGAUUUAAAUUGAUGUUUCUGUUAUUGAAAAUUAGAAUUAUACCAUGGACAAAUCUAGGUUAAAAUAAAAUUCGGUUAAAACCAAAUCCGGAGAUUUAAAUUUCUUGUUUCUUUAAAUUAUACCAUGGACAAAUGAUUUGGAUAUAUGACCAUAUCAUUUAAGUAACAUAAAUAAACUAUGUUGUUAUAGUUUUUACAAUAUAAUGACAAACAAUGAUUUAGAUAUACGACCAUAUGAGUUUUGUAACUUAUGAAGUUUUUUAAAAUAUAAUGACUACUCAAUGUUGCUAAUCCUGCAAUGUGAUAUGGAUCAAUGUAAAGAGAGGGUUUUUUAUAUAUUGUAACUAUGAUAUAAUAUAAGUAUGACAAUGUGAGUAUAUGUAUGUUAACGUUUCACAUUAAAGCCCGGGGUUUUUAAUAGAUGUUUUUUUAAUAUAUAUAUAAUAAUAGAUGCAUAAUGUGACGAAAUAAUAGUUGUAUAAUGUAUAAUAAGAUAGAUCCUACGGUGGAUUUAAAUAGAGUUAUAUGAUGAAGUUAAAUGGACUUUAUUGAACCGAUGGUUGAUAUUGAACCAAUUAAGGAAAUAUUUAAAUGUAAGGUUAGGCUAUGAAUAAUAAUGUGAUGUCCAACUUAAAAAUCCACCUAGAAGAAGUUGUAAUGUUUAUGUUUUAAUAAGAUAGAUAGAAAAAUAUGCGAAGAAAAAUGAAAAUCAUAUCAGAGUAUAUCCCAACUCUAAUUUGGACCAGCGAGGCCGAGGCGCCGCCACACCUAACCCGUUAAAUUCCAAUUCCAACUUUUUCGGGCCAUAUUUUUAAUAAAACGCACACAAGUAUCAUAUGAUCCACAAUUCGGCCCAAGUAUCACACUAUAGAUCUUUUAAAAAUGCUUAAAAGACCUUUAAUCAAUCACUAAGCAUGUGCAUAUACAAAGUUAUAUGGUGGAUUUAAAGUAAACUAAACCUUUUGCAAAUGGGCCUGAAAGAUCUGUCUAAUAUCUGGAGAAAAAAAUUAUAAAGUAAAAGGGCGAUUUUGUGAACAUCAAAUGCAUUACCCCCACCCCCUCCCCCCGGGGUACAUGUAGCUGAUUUGACUAGUUGAUGUGAUUUGGCAUUAAAGUGAUUUAACUAAUGUUAACCACAAACAAAAAAUGUGAUGGCAUUGAAGCCUAUGUGACAAGUCGGAGAGCUUGGCUAGAGUUGUUGAGGAUUGAAGAAGAUCAAGGGACUUGUGCUUUCCCCCUUUUCAAGAAAUCUAACCCAGUUCAGGCUGAACCCGAGAUCACAAGUUCCACAACCAAAUAGAAACACACAGCGCUUAUACUGAAAAGAACAGGGCAUACACGCAAAAUGGAUCUUGAAUAGAUAUUCUCAUGGCAAAAAAAAAAAACCUUAAGCAGUAGUUUCAAACAUUACAAGAGCAUGAACAUCCCAAGGUUCUCGGAGAGCUUUUUUUGAUAAAAUAUAGGCUCUACUGACGCGUGGAUCCCACAAAAAUUUAAAAACCGUUCUCCAAAAUCAUUAAAUAAGGAUCGGUAAUUAGGGGUUUUUGACACUGUUUGCGGAUCCCACCGACAUGUGGCGGCACGCGAUUAUUUUUUAUUUAUUUUUUUAAGAAAAAAAAAACCUUUAGAAUCCCUUGCGAUAAUCAUGGUCUAAGUAACUAUAAAAGGAAGAACAUUUAUCUUCCUCCAUAAACUCCUAAACCUACUCAAGUCAUUUUGACAGUUUUAAAAGACAUUCAAAUGCAAACCCAAACUCCAGAAGCAAUUUUAAAAAGUUUUCAAAACAAAGUGCAAACAUAACACUAAGGUAGCUAAACAAAGUGCAAACAAAAAUUGCUUGAUCCGCACUUAAAAUAACUAAUUAAUAAACAUGAAAAAACCAACAUAAAACUGCGACAAAAACCGAUUUAGAUAUAUUAAUAUUAUAUUAUUAAUAACUAAUUAAUAAACAUAAAAAAACAUCAAGUCACAUAAAUAGCAUAUAAUUUUUUUUAUAAUACAUUAAAUCCAUAAAAAAAAAUAUAUAAGGAUGCACAAAUUAUAUUCCAAUGUGGAUGAUACAAUUAACAGUUUACAAGACAAAAUAAAAUUAC
This is a long non-coding RNA of Brassica napus (rape), 6461 nucleotides long. RefSeq lists it as uncharacterized. The record is from RefSeq and is a predicted model, not a curated record. The transcript has 3 exons. Lineage: Eukaryota; Viridiplantae; Streptophyta; Magnoliopsida; Brassicales; Brassicaceae.